This is a non-coding RNA of Podarcis lilfordi (Lilford's wall lizard), 73 nucleotides long. NCBI's taxonomy places the organism in Eukaryota, Metazoa, Chordata, Lepidosauria, Squamata, Lacertidae. The record is from the annotation of a GenBank genome assembly.
CCUGGGAUAGCUCAGUCAGUAGAGCAUGAGACUCUGAAUCUCAUGGUCGAGGGUUCAAGCCCCACGUUUGGCA